CGCUGGCGGCGUGCCUAACACAUGCAAGUCGAACGAAGCACCUUACCUGAUUCUUCGGAUGAAAGUUUGGUGACUGAGUGGCGGACGGGUGAGUAACGCGUGGGUAACCUGCCCUGUACAGGGGGAUAACAGCUGGAAACGGCUGCUAAUACCGCAUAAGCGCACGAGGAGACAUCUCCUUGUGUGAAAAACUCCGGUGGUACAGGAUGGGCCCGCGUCUGAUUAGCUGGUUGGCAGGGUAACGGCCUACCAAGGCAACGAUCAGUAGCCGGUCUGAGAGGAUGAACGGCCACAUUGGAACUGAGACACGGUCCAAACUCCUACGGGAGGCAGCAGUGGGGAAUAUUGCACAAUGGGGGAAACCCUGAUGCAGCAACGCCGCGUGAGUGAAGAAGUAUUUCGGUAUGUAAAGCUCUAUCAGCAGGGAAGAUAAUGACGGUACCUGACGAAGAAGCUCCGGCUAAAUACGUG
This 471-nucleotide ribosomal RNA is filed under the name uncultured bacterium. RNAcentral's name for it is "partial 16S ribosomal RNA". It matches the Rfam family "Bacterial small subunit ribosomal RNA", at positions 34 to 507 of the family's 1533-position model. The record is from RNAcentral.